RNAcentral lists this ribosomal RNA (599 nucleotides) under metagenome. RNAcentral describes it as "bacterial SSU rRNA". It matches the Rfam family "Archaeal small subunit ribosomal RNA", at positions 638 to 1237 of the family's 1478-position model. The record is from RNAcentral.
UCCUGUCAUCCUGAGAGGACCACCUGUUGCGAAGGCGCCACACUAGAACGGAUCCGACGGUCAGGGACGAAACCUAGGGGCACGAACCGGAUUAGAUACCCGGGUAGUCCUAGGUGUAAACGCUGUGGACUUGAUGUUGGGGGUGCUCCGAGCACUCUCAGUGUCGAAGCGAAGGUGAUAAGUCCACUGCCUGGGGAGUACGGUCGCAAGGCUGAAACUUAAAGGAAUUGGCGGGGGAGCACCGCAACCUGAGGAUUGUGCGGUUUAAUUGGAUUCAACGCCGGAAAACUCACCAUAGCCGACGGACAAAUGAAGGCCAGUGUAAUGAGCUUGCUGGAUUGUUCGAGAGGUAUUGCAUGGCCGCCGUCAGUUCGUACCGCAAGGCGUUCUGUUAAGUCAGAUAACGAACGAGACCCUCAUCCCUAUUUGCCAACUGGGUCUCCGGACGUAGCGCACUAUAGGGAGACCGCUGGCGCUAAGUCAGAGGAAGGCGAGGGCAACGGUAGGUCAGUAUGAUCCGAAUGCCAUGGGCUACACGCGCAAUACAAAGGACGGGACAAUGGGCUGCAACUCCGAGAGGAACGACGCUAUCCCGAAAC